This 1348-nucleotide small RNA is filed under the name Pan troglodytes (chimpanzee). RNAcentral's name for it is "retained intron". Lineage: Eukaryota; Metazoa; Chordata; Mammalia; Primates; Hominidae. The record is from RNAcentral.
GCCGAGAAGGCAGCGGGGCGGCGGCGGCGGCGGCGGCGGCUGUGGAGGCCGCAGUCCGGGUCCUGGCUUCGGCCUCAGCCCCACCAUGGUGACGCUUGCUGAACUGCUGGUGCUCCUGGCCGCUCUCCUGGCUACGGUCUCGGGCUAUUUCGUUAGCAUCGACGCGCAUGCUGAAGAGUGCUUCUUUGAGCGGGUCACCUCGGGCACCAAGAUGGGCCUCAUCUUCGAGGUGGCGGAGGGCGGCUUCCUGGACAUCGACGUGGAGAUUACAGGACCAGAUAACAAAGGAAUUUACAAAGGAGACAGAGAAUCCAGUGGGAAAUACACAUUUGCUGCUCACAUGGAUGGAACAUACAAAUUUUGUUUUAGUAACCGGAUGUCCACCAUGACUCCAAAAAUAGUGAUGUUCACCAUUGAUAUUGGGGAGGCUCCGAAAGGACAAGAUAUGGAAACAGAAGCUCACCAGAACAAGCUAGAAGAAAUGAUCAAUGAGCUAGCAGUGGCGAUGACAGCUGUAAAGCACGAACAGGAAUACAUGGAAGUCCGGGAGAGAAUACACAGAGCCAGUAAGUGAAUGCCGUCACUUUGCAGCAGUGUCUGAUGGUGAAGUCAACGACAACACAAACAGCAGAGUGGUCCUUUGGUCCUUCUUUGAAGCUCUUGUUCUAGUUGCCAUGACAUUGGGACAGAUCUACUACCUGAAGAGAUUUUUUGAAGUCCGGAGGGUUGUUUAAAAAGCCUCUUCCUGAUGAUCCCAACUCAGAAUUCACUGUUUACCAAACACCUUGGUCAUAAUAAUGUCAUUAGUUUCUCCAUUUUUAUUUUCUGAACUGUACAUUCACAACUUAUGUUUCUUUGUGAUUAAUAGAUAUUGGGGGAAAAAACGCCUUUUUAGGAAAAUUAUAGUGAAAAUCUGACAGUUGAUUGGCAUAAUUUCUUGUUUGAAUGCUGCCUCCAUUAUAUAGGUCCUUCCAGGAACUCAAACACUGUAAGUGAAAUAUGGGAGUAUAGUUUUUAUUAUUUCUUCUUUUCCUUUUGUUUUCAUAAUAUAAUGCAGUUUGUUCAGGAAAUCAGCACAAAGCCUGAUAGUACUUUACUAAAAUGACUGCAUUCUUUGGAUUCCUUCAGUCUAUGGUUCAGGUCACUAAAGAUUCAUUUUUGUUGAGUCCUUAUGAGAAACAGCAGUAUGAAUCUUGACGGUUUCUGCCCGUCCUAAUGGCAGAGCUCUCUGACUUGGGUGUAUGCUGCCAGGCUGGGUACUUUCAUACUUUGUUUUCUUGUUUUGCUUUAAAACUACGACUCGGCAUACAUUUUCCCACAUACAUUUUUACAUUGUACCUUAGGACUC